Molecule: long non-coding RNA, 1257 nt
Organism: Columba livia (rock pigeon)
Lineage: Eukaryota; Metazoa; Chordata; Aves; Columbiformes; Columbidae
Exons: 2
Source: RefSeq, a predicted model, not a curated record
CGCCGCCGCUCCUGGGGCGACAGCCGCGGCGUUUGGGGACCUCCCGGGGGCUGCUGCGGAGCGGGGCACGGGGCGAGCAGCUCCUCCUCCCACCGGCAGCUGCCCGCCGCCGCUCCCACCGCCUCGGGGGGACCCGGGCCUGCAGCCAGCUCCUGGGCACCUCACAACCUGCAGGAAACCCAUGGAGCACCCUACGACAGGUGAGGAAAGAAGUGGUUUGCACUGCUCUGUAUCCAGGAUAAUCCUGAGUCAUUUAUGAUCUCCAGCAAGGUACAUGCCCUUCUAUGCAAGUAAAGAAAUAGAGUUACACCACUGUAAGCUGACAGCUAACAGCAAGGCUACGGAUUCACUUAAGUAAGCAUUUAUUAGAGAAUCCUUUAACAUGAAAUUAUACAAAUAAAAGUUUGUAUAAACACAAGUCCACAUUGUGUCAUAACAUGAAUGGCAAAAAGAAAGUAAAAACCAUAAAAGAAAACUAUUCAGCUGCUAUGUACAGUCAGACACAAGUUGUGUCAUACACUAAAAGUCUUUUACAAAAUAAUAAUUUCCUCUCACGAAGACCACCUUCCAUUCACUCACGAUGUUCUGCAAGAUGGCUUCGCUGCAGUACCUCUACCUAAAAAUCAAGACAAAAAUAUAUGUCAGAUCUGUGCAAGUUACUACAAGGAGCUUUAAAAGGUCCAUUUUCAUGAACUGCUUUAAGUCUUCUAUAUAUUCCUUUCUUCACUGUUAAAGAUCAUAUGCAUAUUUUAUUAAGGCAACACAAGAGGUUUUGUUACCCAUAAUUAGUCUUCCCCAAUAUUGCAAAUCAGUCAAUUUAGGAAGCUGUUCCAGAACCACACACAUCUGAUGCAGACUAUUAAUCUGGCUCUGGUUUUCUUCCCCCACUGGAAACACCACCAAAAAGGUUUCCCAUUAUUUGUUUAUCCAUCUAAAUGACUGCUGUGCAAAUGCAAGUUGGGUCAAUUUAGUUCAAACAGUCCACGUGCAGAUGAUCUUUAAUGUUUUUCCAGAUUUAAAAGUUCGUUUUGGUUUGCAGAUUUCACUAUUAGCUAUAAAAAGAAAAAAGCAAGCAUUAAAUCUUAAAGAAUGGACACUUAAAAUGAGGUUCCACAAUUGAAAUACAACACUAAACAGAAGACCAAAUGAUUAAGCUGUAAAGGCAUUUAUGUACUUUAACUCCUGUAAAAAACCAUUUAAGUUAAGACACUUAAUCUCCAAAAAGAUUAAAAAAAGAAGCCAAAGUCUGAAGUUUUC